Vespa mandarinia (Asian giant hornet) is the source of this 666-nucleotide long non-coding RNA. NCBI's taxonomy places the organism in Eukaryota, Metazoa, Arthropoda, Insecta, Hymenoptera, Vespidae. The record is from RefSeq and is a predicted model, not a curated record.
CUGUCCGAUUUGAAAGUCCGAAAAUAGACGUAACUUCAAAAGAUGUACUAUUUUUUAGAAAUGAGAUUAGACAAUUACUUAAGAAGUGGUAGAAGACCAUAGAAACAUCUGAUAGAUUGCUACAAAGUGAGAUAGAAAUAGGCAAAAGAAAAGAGGAUGCAAUGGGAAGGGAAAAGAUGGAUGUACGAGAAACGAGAUCCGAAUGUACUCUUCACGUGGAUUGCCCUAUAGCGAACGGAUGUAAUGACAGCGAACUCAUCCAAUACGCUUUGCUGACGUUAACAUGACGCUGCUCUCGAAAAGCUACAAUACUACUGCGUCGUGCAUUCGCUUCUCUUUCUCUCUCUCUAUCUCUCUCUCUUUCUCUGUGUGUGUGUGUGUGUGUGUGUGUGUGUGUGUGUGUGUGCGUGCGUGCGUGUAUUGCUGGCAUAGAAGAACGCGCUUGUAAUGCCAAACUCGGUAAAUUCGAUGCUCGUAGAGAGCCGCCGUAAAACGACGACGGCAUUGACAAAGAUCAUACAGCUUUACUCAAUGUAACCAAAAGUUUUAAUGCAUUUCUCAUGUAUAUCCCUAAAAAUGAAUCGUUUCUUUCGAGGAGGGGUAUUUUUUUCAAAUCUUUUUAUAAUAAUCGAGAGUAAUCUCAUUCUUUUUGAUUUAUUAUAUGAA